This 396-nucleotide ribosomal RNA is filed under the name uncultured bacterium. RNAcentral describes it as "bacterial SSU rRNA". It matches the Rfam family "Bacterial small subunit ribosomal RNA", at positions 361 to 774 of the family's 1533-position model. The record is from RNAcentral.
AUAUUGGACAAUGGGCGAAAGCCUGAUCCAGCCAUGCCGCGUGAGUGACGAAGGUCUUCGGAUUGUAAAGCUCUUUUGGCGGGGACGAUAAUGACGGUACCCGCAGAAUAAGCCCCGGCUAACUUCGUGCCAGCAGCCGCGGUAAUACGAAGGGGGCUAGCGUUGUUCGGAAUUACUGGGCGUAAAGCGCACGUAGGCGGAUUGUUAAGUCAGGGGUGAAAUCCCGGGGCUCAACCUCGGAACUGCCUUUGAUACUGGCAAUCUCGAGUCCGGAAGAGGUGAGUGGAAUUCCUAGUGUAGAGGUGAAAGUCGUAGAUAUUAGGAAGAACACCAGUGGCGAAGGCGGCUCACUGGUCCGGUACUGACGCUGAGGUGCGAAAGCGUGGGGAGCAAACA